GGGUGUGUAGCUUAGUUUGGUAGAGCAGUGGCCUCCAAAGCCGCCGGUCGGGGGUUCGACUCCCUCCGCACUCG
Molecule: transfer RNA, 74 nt
Filed under: Chlamydia psittaci
Lineage: Bacteria; Pseudomonadati; Chlamydiota; Chlamydiia; Chlamydiales; Chlamydiaceae
Also listed under: 9 other names
Description: tRNA-Trp
Rfam family: tRNA
About the family: Transfer RNA (tRNA) molecules are approximately 80 nucleotides in length. Their secondary structure includes four short double-helical elements and three loops (D, anti-codon, and T loops). Further hydrogen bonds mediate the characteristic L-shaped molecular structure. tRNAs have two regions of fundamental functional importance: the anti-codon, which is responsible for specific mRNA codon recognition, and the 3' end, to which the tRNAs corresponding amino acid is attached (by aminoacyl-tRNA synthetases). tRNAs cope with the degeneracy of the genetic code in two manners: having more than one tRNA (with a specific anti-codon) for a particular amino acid; and 'wobble' base-pairing, i.e. permitting non-standard base-pairing at the 3rd anti-codon position.
Source: RNAcentral